Molecule: ribosomal RNA, 1370 nt
Filed under: uncultured bacterium
Lineage: Bacteria
Description: 16S ribosomal RNA
Rfam family: Bacterial small subunit ribosomal RNA
Source: RNAcentral
UUCCCCCUUAGAGUUUGAUCCUGGCUCAGGACGAACGCUGGCGGCGCGCCUAACACAUGCAAGUCGAACGAGCGAGAGAGAGCUUGCUUUCUCAAGCGAGUGGCGAACGGGUGAGUAACGCGUGAGGAACCUGCCUCAAAGAGGGGGACAACAGUUGGAAACGACUGCUAAUACCGCAUAAGCCCACAGCUCGGCAUCGAGCAGAGGGAAAGGGAGUGAUCCGCUUUGAGAUGGCCUCGCGUCCGAUUAGCUGGUUGGUGAGGUAACGGCCCACCAAGGCGACGAUCGGUAGCCGGACUGAGAGGUUGAACGGCCACAUUGGGACUGAGACACGGCCCAGACUCCUACGGGAGGCAGCAGUGGGGAAUAUUGCACAAUGGGGGAAACCCUGAUGCAGCGACGCCGCGUGGAGGAAGAAGGUCUUCGGAUUGUAAACUCCUGUUGUUGAGGAAGAUAAUGACGGUACUCAACAAGGAAGUGACGGCUAACUACGUGCCAGCAGCCGCGGUAAAACGUAGGUCACAAGCGUUGUCCGGAAUUACUGGGUGUAAAGGGAGCGCAGGCGGGAAAGCCAGUUGCAAGUGAAAUCCAUGGGCUCAGCCCAUGAACUGCUUCCAAACUGUUUUCUCGACUAUUGCACAGGUAGCGGAAUCCCGGGUGUAGCGGUGGAAUGCGUAGAUAUCGGGAGGAACACCAGUGGCGAAGGCGGCCUACUGGGCACCAACUGACGCUGAGGCUCGAAAGUGUGGGUAGCAGACAGGAUUAGAUACCCUGGUAGUCCACACUGUAAACGAUGAUUACUAGGUGUUGGAGGAUUGACCCCUUCAGUGCCGCAGUUAACACAAUAAGGUAAUCCACCUGGGGAGUACGACCGCAAGGUUGAAACUCAAAGGAAUUGACGGGGGCCCGCACAAGCAGUGGAGUAUGUGGUUUAAUUCGACGCAACGCGAAGAACCUUACCAAGUCUUGACAUCCUGCGACGGUGCUGGAAACAGUACUUUCCUUCGGGACGCAGAGACAGGUGGUGCAUGGUUGUCGUCAGCUCGUGUCGUGAGAUGUUGGGUUAAGUCCCGCAACGAGCGCAACCCUUAUGGUCAGUUACUACGCAAGAGGACUCUGGCCAGACUGCCGUUGACAAAACGGAGGAAGGUGGGGAUGACGUCAAAUCAUCAUGCCCUUUAUGACUUGGGCUACACACGUACUACAAUGGCGUUAAACAAAGAGAAGCGAGACCGCGAGGUGGAGCAAAACUCAGAAACAACGUCCCAGUUCGGACUGCAGGCUGCAACUCGCCUGCACGAAGUCGGAAUUGCUAGUAAUCGCAGAUCAGCAUGCUGCGGUGAAUACGUUCNCCGGGCCCUUGUACACAC